This is a long non-coding RNA of Rosa chinensis, 2698 nucleotides long. RefSeq lists it as uncharacterized. NCBI's taxonomy places the organism in Eukaryota, Viridiplantae, Streptophyta, Magnoliopsida, Rosales, Rosaceae. The transcript has 5 exons. The record is from RefSeq and is a predicted model, not a curated record.
CCGGCUUUCCCUUUAGCUUUGUGGUUAAUGCCUUUGGCUCUUCCAAAAGAUAGAGGGGUUCGAAAGCUGGUAUGGUGGUAGUGGUGUGGUGGCGGUGAACUGGUUGUGGUGUUUGUUCCUUGAACUCCAAGGCCCAAAAGAAAAAGAAAAAAUAAAUAUAUCCUACCAAUGAGGUAUUCUAAAAUACCUCUGUUUUGUUUUUGCCUCAUUCCCUUCUCUUUUGACAUUGUGCAGAUUCUCCACAACUGAAUGUUUGAUAUUGCUGGUAUAAAGUCUCUGCAGGAGUUGGCUCUUGACAAUGGUGAGAACUGAGAAGAGAAGGGUCUACAAGACAAAGUUUUCCCCAUAUUUGCACUGCUCUGCAACCUUUUCAUGGUUAGAUCAGAGGGAUAUAGGAUGACACGGCUUCGAUAAUUCGAAAGCUGGUAUGGUGUUGGUGAUGAAGACGUUCUUGCUUGCUUUAAAUAUGAAACCCUGAAAGAAAGAACACAAAGCAUGACUAUAAUGAGGUUUCUAUGAAAUGGUUUGGAUUCAGAAGGGUAGAAGUUCGACAUUUUACAAGAGGUUAGCCUUUUUCAGUGUCCUAGAAUUCAGAGCUUCUGCAGAUCCAAAGGUUUUCUUCAGUAGGGCUGAAUGACCAAUACAUUUUCAAAGAUGGUCAUAUACCUUACACAACUUUGGAAGGCAUGAACUGUGUUUUUAAGUUCAUUGAUCUAAAGUAUAUCUGGCAUGAGACCUGAUGUUACAAAUACUUGUGUAUAGGCUUAUCGCUGUAUAUAGAUAAAAAUUUGCCUAAUCAAAGUUCACUGAAUUCACUCAUUGAGAAAUGCUUAUAUGGAAGCAUUAAUGAUGAUGAAUUACGUGGCCAAUAAUGGAUUAGUGAUAUCACUAAUCUUCAAUCAGUUUUUUUUUUCCUUAUGUUCCUAUAUUAGUAAUAGUGACAUCAUUCACUAUAAUUGGUCUUGACUACAAAAAGUUACCUUCUGGUAUAUGUCAUGUAAGAGAAAAGAAACAGUACAAUUUCCUCACAAGUUGUUGUAUCUUGAAAAUGUGUGGGGUUACUGAUUCCAGAAAAGGGUAUCUUGUCUGUACAGUGAUUUUGUUUUUACAAUUGCAUCUGGUUUAUUGCAAUGAGUAGCUAAACCGUACCAUAAUGGUUAUUUUGACAUUGAUCCAUGUGGUAAAUUUUGUAUUUAGUGUGCUCCAAUAUUUGCUGUACUUGGUUGAGUAUUGAGGGUACGUACUUUUCAAUGUUUCUUCAUAGACAGCAUUCAAUUUAGACUGCUGAAAGUUUACAUCUUGGAAAUGAACUUAUUCUUGAUUCACUUGUGUACAGAAUUCUGUUUCCUCCAGAAUGCAUGGUGGCUUUACAUUUUGUGUUUUGAACUUUUGAAGCUAGGAAAACUAUGUUGUGAACUUGUGAUGUUAUAUGAGAAAUUUCAAAAAAAAGGUUAUCCUGUUAAUGAUUUUUUGUUUGAAUUUCUUUUCGAACUAUGUGAUUCUAUUUCUGUAGUUCCAGGAAAUUAGAUUUUAAACUUAGAUAACCUUUUGUUUUGCCUAGUUGUAAGGGUUUUUUUUGAAUGUGUUGUUUUGGAGAUUUUUUUCUUCUGUUUUGUGCUUUCAACUUCAGGAGCUUCCUGAAGGUAGCUGGUAUUGUCUGCAUUGCACCUGUUGGAUAUAUGGUGAUUCUGCUGAUGAUAAAGAGGCUUCAAGCACUUCUGAUGGAUUUCAAUGUUCACAGUGCAAGCAAAAACUUUUUGUUAGACAUCUUUCUUGCACCUAAAUAGUUUUCAUUACCUGUAGAGAGGGCUUAAAGUUGUUUGUUGUGGACCUGUGCUAUGUACAUCAGAACCGACAGAGUUCUCUUCCAAGGCUUGACAGAGGGGUGGUAGUGGAACUCUAUUGAAGAUGUAUUUCCCAGGUCAGGCAUUUGCCAAGAAUCAUUAUCAACCCUGCCCUAUUUGGUGUCUUGUGAAUUGUGACAGUACACGUCUUUAGUUCCUUAUUCCCAACCUUUUGAUUUGAGUCUGUGUGGUUGAAGCGCAAGGUAUUUCAAUGCUUUGUUCAAGUCCUCCUAGCCAACACUCUAGUUGCUGUAUAAUACAUUAAACUGGUUGGCCUUUUGGCACUUGUUUCAUAGCCAAAGAGAAGUUCUGGUUAAGCUAGAUUAUACUGAGAAGGCCGUAAUUUCCAAUGGGGGAUGUUUCAUUUUAUCUUCUAGGAAAAAAACUAGCAAAUAUGCCUUGGUUUUUCAUGGCAGCACUUGUUACAUUUCAACCUCUGCAGACAAUGUAAAGUUGAGUACAUAGCAGCACUAGUUCUGCAUCUUCAUUCUAUUCUUUAGUGAUGCCUCCAAGCAUACAAAGUCCGAUCUUAAGAAUCAAAAAUGUGCUCAUUCGACAGUGGCAGAAAGAGCAAGGUCCAAAAUUUGCACUUGUCUUCCGAGUGUUGCCAGAUAACAAAGUUAUGGACACUCAAACCGUCUUUAACCACGACCCUUAAACAUUACUUUGGUGAUUUUUCUUUCUUUGAAUAUUUCCAACACAAUGAUCCCAUUACUAUAUACAUCUCCUUUUCUUGAAUGCUCAACACCAAUUGCAUGCUCUGCAACUCAGAAAGCAAUCGAGUUUCUAUGUACUAUAUACAUUCUCUAGAUGUUUAAUUAGACCGAUUUCAUCAUCAAUAUGAAAGCACAAGU